RNAcentral lists this ribosomal RNA (326 nucleotides) under uncultured bacterium. RNAcentral's name for it is "bacterial SSU rRNA". It matches the Rfam family "Bacterial small subunit ribosomal RNA", at positions 28 to 334 of the family's 1533-position model. The record is from RNAcentral.
GACGAACGCUGGCGGCGUGCUUAACACAUGCAAGUCGAACGAGGAAUAGGGUGCUUGCACCCUAUAGCCGAGUGGCGGACGGGUGAGUAACACGUGACUGACCUAUCUUUGGGAGGGGGACAACCUGGGGAAACCCGGGCUAAUACCGCGUAAUGUCCGAGGGCUGCAUGGCCCAUGGAUGAAAGGGAGCCUCUGUUUACAAGCUUCCACCUAAAGAGGGGGUCGCGGCGUAUCAGCUUGUUGGUGAGGUAACGGCUCACCAAGGCUACGACGCGUAGCGGGUCUGAGAGGACGACCCGUCACAUUGGGACUGAGAUACGGCCCAG